Molecule: ribosomal RNA, 86 nt
Filed under: Carnobacterium sp.
Lineage: Bacteria; Bacillati; Bacillota; Bacilli; Lactobacillales; Carnobacteriaceae
Source: RNAcentral
GUUCCCAUGCCGAACACAGCAGUUAAGCUUCUUAGCGCCGAUGGUAGUGAAGGGUUUCCCUUUGUGAGAGUAGGACGCUGCCGCGC